GGCUGAAGGGCCGGAUGUCGAGUGUCCGUGGGGAGCAGGGGUCUGAAGGGCUGGAAGCUGGGGUCAGGGUCCCAGCCACCCCGGGUCCGGGAUGGGAGCGGCCUGAACUGGGGAGAGCAGGGCCCCGGUGUCAGAAGACCCACAGGCUGACUCCACAAUCUCACUCCUUCCCCACUUGGAGGCCAAGAUCCGUCAGACACACAGCCUUGCCCGCCUCCUCAC
This is a long non-coding RNA of Herpailurus yagouaroundi (jaguarundi), 222 nucleotides long. RefSeq lists it as uncharacterized. NCBI's taxonomy places the organism in Eukaryota, Metazoa, Chordata, Mammalia, Carnivora, Felidae. The record is from RefSeq and is a predicted model, not a curated record. The transcript is spliced from 2 exons.